GAAGAGCCAGUCUUUGAAAUUGAGGGGGAAACAAGACUGCAAAGCAGCGUCCCCUUUGUAUAUAUUCAACAGAGUUCUCCCUUUGCUGUUGUUCUCCGGGUUCUUUUGCACAAAUUACAUGUUCCUCCUACCCUGGCUUUAAUCAUCACAACCUUGAAUCCUCAUCAAACUCUCUGCCUAUCUCAAACCAGUGCUUAAAGGACACUCUUACCCUUAGAAGAAAUGGUAUAAUUUUCAUAAACAUGGGUCAUUUCCCCCUUGCAUAAAUGUCAGAUACAAAACCGCCACUUAACAAGAUGUGCCAGAAAUACAGAAUGUCUGAACAAAGGCUGUUGACAAUAGCAUCUUUUUUCCUUUUUUGUAGUUCUGUGAAAUUGCUCUCCCAAAAUAUUCCUAAUGCUUUAUUUACUUCAGUGUUGGGUUUAUUUUGGGAUAAACUUUCCUGAAGCUGAAUCUUAGGAUGUGAUUCUUAUCCUGGUCACAUCCUGGGGAGUUGUUUUGUGACUUUUUUGAAUGGGCCCUGGCUCUUCCAGGGAGCCCCUGGUGCUGAGGAAGAGGCAGGGGCCAGAGGAUGUCAACUCCCGUGUGCGGAACACAGACAGAGAUGACGAACCAUCAGCUUCGGUGGAAAUACUCCCCAAAGGAGAGCCUGCGCCGCCUGGUCUCCAACAAUGGCAGAAGUGAACCCAGCUCAGACUUUAUCAAUGAUCUGUUCCGGAGAGUGGUGUGUCUCAUAGUUUCCAACAUCUGAGUGAUUUGUGACUAUUAGGAAUUCAGACACUGGAUGAUUAAAACCGCUGGUGCUGGGAAUUUUCUCAUUUCAGGAAAUUUUGGUUGUGAGGCAUGCUGGAACCUUACCAGCCAGCAGACACGAAGGGGAGGAAGUCCAGGCAGGGCCAGGAAUGAGACUGUGGGAAUUGACCAGAAGGCGGCACCACGGCUUAGCUUUCAUGUCAGACAGAUCUGCGUGGGCACCCUGCUUCCCUGAGCCUCAGUUUCUUUGCUAGCAGAGUGGAGGUGAUGAGAGUUGAAUUAAAGAAUGUCAUGCCUGGCACGCAGUAAGGGCUCCAGAUGGGAGUUCUCCUCUCUUUUCUUUCCCUGAGUGGCUAGAAGUCUAAUGAGUGUCUUAAGGGUGAGGUGAACUGAGGUUUUGUCUAGCCUAUGGUUGGUCUGACUUGAGGGAAAGAUGGUCUUCAGUGAGAAUCUAAGCUAGAGCUUGGAGUUCAAGAGACUCGGCCUAGCUCUGAGAGAUGAGGGACAAGGGCUGGCCAAAGAAAGAUUGUCCAGAUCCCAAGGCCUCUGGGCUCAGGGUUGGGCUUUAAUCUGAACUUUGAUCAGUGAGGAAGCUGACAUAGCCCCAGGUUUAUCCUGGAUUAUAUAGUAUAGAGCCAUGGUUCUCAGCGUGGCCUGAGGACCCUGGAGGAACCUGAGGUACUUUUAGAGGUUCAUGAGAUCAGAACUAUUUUUAUAAUGCUACUAAGAUGUAAUUUUCCCUUUUCAUUGGUUGAUGUUUAAACUGAUGGUGUAAAAGCAACAGUGGUAAACAGCUGGUGCUUUAGUUUGGAUCAAGGUAGUGGUAGCAAACUGCAGUAGUUAUCAUUGUAUUAUUCACCACCACAUGUGCACGGUAGGAAGAAAAAAGUCAGUUUCACUUAAUGUCCU
RNAcentral lists this long non-coding RNA (1662 nucleotides) under Homo sapiens (human). RNAcentral's name for it is "HSALNT0007281". Lineage: Eukaryota; Metazoa; Chordata; Mammalia; Primates; Hominidae. The record is from RNAcentral.